AACGAACGCUGGCGGCAUGCCUAACACAUGCAAGUCGAACGAAGGCUUCGGCCUUAGUGGCGCACGGGUGCGUAACGCGUGGGAAUCUGCCCUUAGGUUCGGAAUAACAGUUAGAAAUGACUGCUAAUACCGGAUGAUGACGUAAGUCCAAAGAUUUAUCGCCUGAGGAUGAGCCCGCGUAGGAUUAGCCAGUUGGUGUGGUAAAGGCGCACCAAGGCGACGAUCCUUAGCUGGUCUGAGAGGAUGAUCAGCCACACUGGGACUGAGACACGGCCCAGACUCCUACGGGAGGCAGCAGUGGGGAAUAUUGGACAAUGGGCGCAAGCCUGAUCCAGCAAUGCCGCGUGAGUGAUGAAGGCCUUAGGGUUGUAAAGCUCUUUUACCCGUGAUGAUAAUGACAGUAGCGGGAGAAUAAGCCCCGGCUAACUCCGUG
Molecule: ribosomal RNA, 433 nt
Filed under: uncultured bacterium
Lineage: Bacteria
Description: partial 16S ribosomal RNA
Rfam family: Bacterial small subunit ribosomal RNA
Source: RNAcentral